GACGGAGGGGGCUAGCGUUGUUCGGAAUGACUGGGCGUAAAGGGCGCGUAGGCGGUUUUUUAAGUGAGGCGUGAAAGCCCUGGGCUUAACCCAGGAGGUGCGUUUCAGACUGGAAGACUUGAGUGCGAGAGAGGAAAGUGGAAUUUCUAGUGUAGAGGUGAAAUUCGUAGAUAUUAGAAAGAACACCCGUGGCGAAGGCGGCUUUCUGGCUCGCAACUGACGCUGAGGCGCGAAAGCGUGGGGAGCAAACAGG
RNAcentral lists this non-coding RNA (253 nucleotides) under uncultured bacterium. RNAcentral describes it as "partial 16S ribosomal RNA". It matches the Rfam family "Bacterial small subunit ribosomal RNA", at positions 524 to 776 of the family's 1533-position model. RNAcentral also lists the same sequence under 1 other name. The record is from RNAcentral.